GGGGGAUUAGUCUAGUGGUAUGAUCGGCGCUUUGGGAGCGUCAGGCGGGGGUUCAAUUCCCUCAUCCCCCA
This 71-nucleotide transfer RNA is filed under the name archaeon. Its description in RNAcentral is "tRNA-Pro". It matches the Rfam family "tRNA". From Rfam's summary of the family: Transfer RNA (tRNA) molecules are approximately 80 nucleotides in length. Their secondary structure includes four short double-helical elements and three loops (D, anti-codon, and T loops). RNAcentral also lists the same sequence under 1 other name. The record is from RNAcentral.